Molecule: long non-coding RNA, 965 nt
Organism: Eubalaena glacialis (North Atlantic right whale)
Lineage: Eukaryota; Metazoa; Chordata; Mammalia; Artiodactyla; Balaenidae
Exons: 3
Source: RefSeq, a predicted model, not a curated record
UCUUCCACCUGGAUCCCUAGACCUCUUGCAGCACAGGGGUGCAGCUGACACACCUGGGCUCCCGCUUCCCGCCCUCCACCUCGUUCCCCUGGGUCCUCGCCACUGCCAGUCUCGAAAAGGCACACAGGACAGUUUCCCAAGUCGGCACACACGAAAGGGUCCCGAUGAGAGGGUGGUGCUGAAAUUGGAGGUGCCGGCUCUCGAUCCCCCUGGAUGGCAGCUGUAAGGACAAGGCUCUGCAGGCGCCACUGGACUUUCUCUCGUGUCUGCAGAGGGAGAAUCAGAUGAGCGUUGAUCGGCGGUGGAGGAUGGGUGAAGGGAGAAGAGGAACAGGGCUCCGACUAUGGUGAAAGCAAGAAACAUUCCAGAGAGGAGCACGAAGAUGCGGAUGCAAUCCGCGCUGCACAGGGACCUUUGGGCUGUGAUGGGAUGGGCAGGGGUCACAAGGGGGUUUGGGGGAGGGCCUAGCCCUUGACUCCCCUCAGCCCAGCCCUCCUGUCACCCCUGCCUCUCCCCUUUCCCCACCUUCCUCCCCUGCCCCCACCAUUAGACCACGUCCUUUUCUAAUCCCUGGACUCUGCUUCUCCCUCUUCUUACCCCUGUUCCUAGGAGCUUUCUGGCUGGCUUCCCUCCUGGACCCUCCUGUGUGCAUUCUCUCUCUCGGGGUGGGGAGUGGGGAGAAAACUCACGUGACCAGUGGGUAGAGAGAGUUGGGGCAGGCAGCCACCUGGAAUCAGCCAGAGUCCGAAUAUGCCGGCCUGUCCUGGCCUCUGGUAUCUCUGGAAAAACAGAGACAAGAUGGGCAGCCGCAGGGGGCCCCAGAAGGCACAAGGCUAGGCUAAAGGCCUAAGCGGGCCUGGGGGAGAUGCGAAGGCCGAGACAGGCGGACGAGGCAACGUAUGUGGGACUGGGCAUGGGAGAGGGGGUGCUGAUUGGGGUGUGACCCUUACCCCCGAUGACCAGAC